CCUACGGGAGGCAGCAGUGGGGAAUAUUGGACAAUGGGGGCAACCCUGAUCCAGCCAUGCCGCGUGUGUGAAGAAGGCCCUCGGGUUGUAAAGCACUUUCAGUGAGGAAGAACGCCUGGUGGUUAAUACCCAUCAGGAAAGACAUCACUCACAGAAGAAGCACCGGCUAACUCCGUGCCAGCAGCCGCGGUAAUACGGAGGGUGCGAGCGUUAAUCGGAAUUACUGGGCGUAAAGCGCGCGUAGGUGGCAUGAUAAGCCGGUUGUGAAAGCCCCGGGCUCAACCUGGGAACGGCAUCCGGAACUGUCAAGCUAGAGUGCAGGAGAGGAAGGUAGAAUUCCCGGUGUAGCGGUGAAAUGCGUAGAGAUCGGGAGGAAUACCAGUGGCGAAGGCGGCCUUCUGGACUGACACUGACACUGAGGUGCGAAAGCGUGGGUAGCAAACAGGAUUAGAUACCCUUGUAGUC
RNAcentral lists this ribosomal RNA (465 nucleotides) under Vreelandella stevensii. RNAcentral's name for it is "partial 16S ribosomal RNA". It matches the Rfam family "Bacterial small subunit ribosomal RNA", at positions 338 to 795 of the family's 1533-position model. The record is from RNAcentral. Lineage: Bacteria; Pseudomonadati; Pseudomonadota; Gammaproteobacteria; Oceanospirillales; Halomonadaceae.